AUUGAACGCUGGCGGCAUGCCUUACACAUGCAAGUCGAACGGCAGCACGGGAGCAAUCCUGGUGGCGAGUGGCGAACGGGUGAGUAAUAUAUCGGAACGUGCCCAGUCGUGGGGGAUAACGCAGCGAAAGCUGUGCUAAUACCGCAUACGAUCUACGGAUGAAAGCGGGGGAUCGCAAGACCUCGCGCGAUUGGAGCGGCCGAUAUCAGAUUAGCUAGUUGGUGGGGUAAAGGCCCACCAAGGCGACGAUCUGUAGCUGGUCUGAGAGGACGACCAGCCACACUGGAAAUGAGAAACGGUCCAGACUCCUACGGGAGGCAGCAGUGGGGAAUUUUGGACAAUGGGCGCAAGCCUGAUCCAGCAAUGCCGCGUGCAGGAUGAAGGCCUUCGGGUUGUAAACUGCUUUUGUACGGAACGAAACGGCCCUUUCUAAUACAGGGGGCUAAUGACGGUACCGUAAGAAUAAGCACCGGCUAACUACGUGCCAGCCGCCGCAGUAA
Molecule: ribosomal RNA, 500 nt
Filed under: uncultured bacterium
Lineage: Bacteria
Description: partial 16S ribosomal RNA
Rfam family: Bacterial small subunit ribosomal RNA
Source: RNAcentral